AGAUUGAACGCUGGCGGCAGGCCUAACACAUGCAAGUCGAGCGGUAGAGAGGUGCUUGCACCUCUUGAGAGCGGCGGACGGGUGAGUAAUGCCUAGGAAUCUGCCUAGUGGUGGGGGAUAACGUUCGGAAACGGACGCUAAUACCGCAUACGUCCUACGGGAGAAAGCGGGGGACCUUCGGGCCUCGCGCCAUUAGAUGAGCCUAGGUCGGAUUAGCUAGUUGGUGAGGUAAUGGCUCACCAAGGCGACGAUCCGUAACUGGUCUGAGAGGAUGAUCAGUCACACUGGAACUGAGACACGGUCCAGACUCCGUACGGGAGCAGCAGUGGGAAUAUUGGACAA
RNAcentral lists this ribosomal RNA (342 nucleotides) under uncultured soil bacterium. Its description in RNAcentral is "bacterial SSU rRNA". It matches the Rfam family "Bacterial small subunit ribosomal RNA", at positions 26 to 371 of the family's 1533-position model. The record is from RNAcentral.